UCGCAGGUCUUCUCCAAAUCUAUCUAUUCCCAAUUUCUCGACGCUUUCUUCCCUUCUCCUCCCCGCCGAUGUCUUCCGCCGGUAGCCAUGGAGGUGGUGCCGCCGCCGACUCUGAGUACCAGAACUACUACUGCCACCGGUGCCAGCGUACUGUCGCCCUUCCCACUGCUGCCUUCGAGAUCGUCUGCCCCGUCUGCCACGAUGGCUUCCUCGAAGAGGUAGAAUCCCCUAACCCUAGUCCCAGCCCAAAUACCUUCUCUUACGACUCCUCUGGAAAUCCUGUUCUCCUCCAGCCCUUUGGCCCCUCGUUCUUCUUCUCCUCCUCUUCCUCUUCCCCCGCCCCCGCUAGCUUAGACCUCAGGAACCCUGCUGACCUUGCAGAUCUCCUCGGCCCUGACCUUUUUGUCUCCCGCUCUGGACCUGGCGGCCCCACUAGUGCUACUAGCGCGGUUCCCUUCAAUCCGAUGAUCUUCCUUCAGGAUUACCUCCAGCAAUUAAUGUCCGGAGGUGCCAAUAUCCAAGUCGUAGUUGAGGGCGGACCUGGCGGCGGUAUUGGGAACCUAGGGGAUUACUUUAUUGGCCCUGGCCUUGAGCAGCUUAUACAACAGCUCACUGAGAAUGAUCCCAAUCGUUAUGGCACCCCACCUGCUGCCAAGUCUGUUGUUGCAAACCUUCCAGACAUCAAAAUUAGCCUAGAAUUGCUUGCCUCUGAUGAAGCUCAGUGCUCUGUCUGUAUGGAUACUUUCGAAAUGGGAAACGAGGCCAAGCAGAUGCCAUGCAAGCAUAUCUUUCACAAAAACUGCAUCUUGCCAUGGCUAGAGUUGCAUAAUUCAUGCCCAGUCUGUCGCUAUGAGCUUCCCACUGAUGAUCUUGACUAUGAGCAACGCAGGGGGACACCAGCAGUCCCUUCACCACGGACAACUGCUGGAACAAGGGAUUCUAGUGGUGUUGGGGCAGCAGCUGGAGCCUUCACUGAAGGGGAUUCUGGUAGCCCUAGAAUGAUUGAGAGAAGGUUUAGGAUUUCACUACCAUGGCCAUUUAGAAUGUUUGAGGCGCAAGCAGAAGGUAGCAAUGCUGGUAGUGGAGGAAAUGACGGGAACAACAGCACCAAUCCACAUCCUGAUCGGCAAGAAGAUGGACGCUAAAUAUCCAUCAGAAGAUUUGAUUUGAGGAGGUAAGGUAUAAAGAGCUACAACCAUUGCCCCCGGGCAAUGGUACAGUGGCAGGACACUUUCUCAGUUUCUUGGCAUCUAAGGAUCGAGUCCAAGCUUUGGCGAAUUAAUUGAUAAAUUUCCUUGAAUGAGCGAUUGACCUAAGAAGGCUGGGCUGAUGGGCCGUUCACUAUGAGUGCUUUCGGAUUUAUCCUAGUGGUGGUGGGAAAUUUCUGUGGAACGAGAUCGGUCACUCUCAGCAUUAGUCGGCGUAAGUUGGAUAACGGAUUCCAACUAAAAAAAAAUUAAAGCUACAGCCAUUGGUCUCGGACAUUAAUGAGAUGAACCCUGAUGCUUUGUUGUACAAGCAACAAUUCAAGAUUCGCAGCUAUGGCAACAUGAGUCUUCUGGUUACAGUUACAUAAGCAAUUUUUAACUUUGUUCGGAUUUAUUCAUAUUUUUGCAUUCUGUUUUAUGAUUAUCUAAAGUCUAAACUGGUGGGGAUUAAUUUGUAUACUUCUGAAUGGGCCCAAAAAAUAGAUUGGAUUUGUAAUGUGCUCUUCUUUUUUGCUUUUA
RNA transcript from Zingiber officinale, 1727 nucleotides. It is a transcript of the gene named E3 ubiquitin-protein ligase RING1-like, with no coding region annotated. The transcript has 3 exons. The record is from RefSeq and is a predicted model, not a curated record. Lineage: Eukaryota; Viridiplantae; Streptophyta; Magnoliopsida; Zingiberales; Zingiberaceae.